GACGAACGCUGGCGGCGGGCUUAACACAUGCAAGUCGAACGGAAAGGCCCUGCUUGUGUGGGGUGCUCGAGUGGCGAACGGGUGUGUAACACGUGAGUAACCUGCCCUUGACUUUGUGAUAACUUCAGGAAACCGGGGCUAAUACCGGAUAGGAGCUCCUGCUGCAUGGGGGGGGUUGGAAAGUUUAGGCGGAGGGGGAUGGACUCGGGGCUAAUCAGCUUGUUGGUGGGGUAGUGGCUUACCAAGGCUUUGACGGGUAGCCGGCAUGGGAGGGUGACCGGCCACAAGGGGCCUGAGGUACGGCCCAGACUCCUACGGUGGACAGCAGGGGGAAAUAUUGUACAGUGGGGGGACGCCUGAUGCAGAGACCCCGCGUGCGUGAUGACGGCCUUGGGGUGGUAAACCGCAUUCAGCUGUGACGAAGCGUGAGUGACGGUAAUAGGUAAAGAAGCACCGGCUAACUACGUG
Molecule: ribosomal RNA, 468 nt
Filed under: uncultured bacterium
Lineage: Bacteria
Description: partial 16S ribosomal RNA
Rfam family: Bacterial small subunit ribosomal RNA
Source: RNAcentral